This 1449-nucleotide ribosomal RNA is filed under the name uncultured Ralstonia sp. RNAcentral's name for it is "bacterial SSU rRNA". It matches the Rfam family "Bacterial small subunit ribosomal RNA". The record is from RNAcentral. Lineage: Bacteria; Pseudomonadati; Pseudomonadota; Betaproteobacteria; Burkholderiales; Burkholderiaceae.
UACAUGGCUCAGAUUGAACGCUGGCGGCAUGCCUUACACAUGCAAGUCGAACGGCAGCAUGAUCUAGCUUGCUAGAUUGAUGGCGAGUGGCGAACGGGUGAGUAAUACAUCGGAACGUGCCCUGUAGUGGGGGAUAACUAGUCGAAAGAUUAGCUAAUACCGCAUACGACCUGAGGGUGAAAGUGGGGGACCGCAAGGCCUCAUGCUAUAGGAGCGGCCGAUGUCUGAUUAGCUAGUUGGUGAGGUAAAGGCUCACCAAGGCGACGAUCAGUAGCUGGUCUGAGAGGACGAUCAGCCACACUGGGACUGAGACACGGCCCAGACUCCUACGGGAGGCAGCAGUGGGGAAUUUUGGACAAUGGGGGCAACCCUGAUCCAGCAAUGCCGCGUGUGUGAAGAAGGCCUUCGGGUUGUAAAGCACUUUUGUCCGGAAAGAAAUCGCACUUACUAAUAUUAGGUGUGGAUGACGGUACCGGAAGAAUAAGGACCGGCUAACUACGUGCCAGCAGCCGCGGUAAUACGUAGGGUCCAAGCGUUAAUCGGAAUUACUGGGCGUAAAGCGUGCGCAGGCGGUUGUGCAAGACCGAUGUGAAAUCCCCGGGCUUAACCUGGGAAUUGCAUUGGUGACUGCACGGCUAGAGUGUGUCAGAGGGGGUAGAAUUCCACGUGUAGCAGUGAAAUGCGUAGAGAUGUGGAGGAAUACCGAUNGCGAAGNCAGCCCCCUGGGAUACACUGACGCUCAUGCACGAAAGCGUGGGAGCAAACAGGAUUAGAUACCCUGGUAGUCCACGCCCUAAACGAUGUCAACUAGUUGUUGGGGAUUCAUUUCCUUAGUAACGUAGCUAACGCGUGAAGUUGACCGCCUGGGGGAGUACGGUCGCAAGAUUAAAACUCAAAGGAAUUGACGGGGACCCGCACAAGCGGUGGAUGAUGUGGAUUAAUUCGAUGCAACGCGAAAAACCUUACCUACCCUUGACAUGCCACUAACGAAGCAGAGAUGCAUUAGGUGCUCGAAAGAGAAAGUGGACACAGGUGCUGCAUGGCUGUCGUCAGCUCGUGUCGUGAGAUGUUGGGUUAAGUCCCGCAACGAGCGCAACCCUUGUCUCUAGUUGCUACGAAAGGGCACUCUAGAGAGACUGCCGGUGACAAACCGGAGGAAGGUGGGGAUGACGUCAAGUCCUCAUGGCCCUUAUGGGUAGGGCUUCACACGUCAUACAAUGGUGCAUACAGAGGGUUGCCAAGCCGCGAGGUGGAGCUAAUCCCAGAAAAUGCAUCGUGGUCCGGAUCGUAGUCUGCAACUCGACUACGUGAAGCUGGAAUCGCUAGUAAUCGCGGAUCAGCAUGCCGCGGUGAAUACGUUCCCGGGUCUUGUACACACCGCCCGUCACACCAUGGGAGUGGGUUUUGCCAGAAGUAGUUAGCCUAACCGCAAAGGGGGGCGAUUACCAC